This 89-nucleotide transfer RNA is filed under the name Coprinellus micaceus. Its description in RNAcentral is "tRNA-Ser". It matches the Rfam family "tRNA". Rfam says of the family: Transfer RNA (tRNA) molecules are approximately 80 nucleotides in length. The record is from RNAcentral. Lineage: Eukaryota; Fungi; Basidiomycota; Agaricomycetes; Agaricales; Psathyrellaceae.
GGGCACUUGGUCGAGUCUGGUUUAUGGCGCUCGUCUUGAAAACGAGUACUUUUAAACAAAAGUCGUCGGUUCGAAUCCGACAGUGCCCG